AGCAUCAUCUGAAAACGGGUAUAAACUGAUGUCUCUGUCCCCCCCACAAACACCUUUUAGAAGGUCUCUUUCAGUGCCCCAGUCCCAGACACCCUCGGUCCCAGCUGUUAGGAAGGAGCUGGGAGCUGCAGGCUGCCUACCAGAGUACAACAGGGAAGUGCUCUGUAAGUUGACUGCAAUCCGUAAAAAGCUGCUCAGAGAGCAGAAACGGGUGAAGGGCCAGAUGAUGCGCUCAGAGUGAGAGGAGCUGGACUCACUUGACAGGAUGGAGGCUUCCGGGGAGCCUAUCAGACUUCCAGAUGACUACAUCCUGUCAAGGUGUGGUCGAAGAGGGUGGACCCAAAGAACAUGGGGAAAUACUGACACACAAACAUGAAGACAAGAACGUGACAAGGACUGUCAAAGGGAGCAA
This is a long non-coding RNA of Osmerus eperlanus (European smelt), 412 nucleotides long. RefSeq lists it as uncharacterized. The transcript is spliced from 3 exons. The record is from RefSeq and is a predicted model, not a curated record. NCBI's taxonomy places the organism in Eukaryota, Metazoa, Chordata, Actinopteri, Osmeriformes, Osmeridae.